UCAGAUUGAACGCUGGCGGCAGGCCUAACACAUGCAAGUCGAGCGGUAACAUUUCUAAGCUUGCUUAGAAGAUGACGAGCGGCGGACGGGUGAGUAAUGCUUGGGGAUCUGCCUGAUGGCGGGGGACAACCACUGGAAACGGUGGCUAAUACCGCAUAAUACCUAUGGGUCAAAGUGUGGGACCUUCGGGCCACACGCCAUCAGAUGAACCCAAGUGAGAUUAGCUGGUUGGUAGGGUAACGGCUUACCAAGGCGACGAUCUCUAGCUGGUCUGAGAGGAUGAUCAGCCACACUGGGACUGAGACACGGCCCAGACUCCUACGGGAGGCAGCAGUGGGGAAUAUUGGACAAUGGGGGCAACCCUGAUCCAGCCAUGCCGCGUGUGUGAAGAAGGCCUUCGGGUUGUAAAGCACUUUCAGUGGUGAGGAAGGUGGUGUCGUUAAUAGCGGCAUCAAUUGACGUUAGCCACAGAAGAAGCACCGGCUAACUCCGUGCCAGCAGCCGCGGUAAUACGGAGGGUGCGAGCGUUAAUCGGAAUUACUGGGCGUAAAGCGCACGUAGGCGGUAUGUUAAGCAAGAUGUGAAAGCCCAGAGCUCAACUCUGGAAUAGCAUUUUGAACUGGCAUGCUAGAGUUUUGGAGAGGGUGGUAGAAUUU
This 656-nucleotide ribosomal RNA is filed under the name uncultured bacterium. RNAcentral describes it as "bacterial SSU rRNA". It matches the Rfam family "Bacterial small subunit ribosomal RNA", at positions 24 to 669 of the family's 1533-position model. The record is from RNAcentral.